AGAGAUGAGUUUUUUUAUUAUUAUUAAUACCACCACCAGCUCAGCUGCUGCUGCUAAUCAUGCUUAAAACUAGGGCCAGAUUGGGUGAACUCACGCCUACCCAAAACGAGAUACAAUCCAGUUUUCUUUUUGAGCGGUGGAUUGAGCAACCACAGCUGGGAUCUGAUCAACUGCGGUGGCUAAAUUGCUGGCGAUGGCAACCUAUCCUAUGUCUUCGAAGGAUAGACACUGGACAGUGGUGUUUUCUUGUUCUGUAGUUCCAUAAUUUCUAAUGCAGUCCCAAUGCGUGUUGAUUAAGUUACUCAACUUCUUGGCCAGAUUGGAUGAUCAAUCAAGAUUUGGUUAGGUUGGAGUGCUUGCGACAUCUUGCAAUCCCUCCAAACACUGCAACCAUGACUUCAAAUAGUUUUGAUGCCUGCAGGGAAAGACAAGCGAUCAGGUCCAGGAUUUUCCUUUUCUUUAGGAAAAAUACACUAAUCGCUUGCCAUUAAUUUCUAUGUUGACACCCAGAUAACAACAACAGCUUCUUGGAUUCUUGUUCGUAAUUUCAUGCUGUUUGUCACUGGUUAUGAAUCCACAAACAGCCCACCUUCCUGUACUCGAUGCAGCCCGCAUCGACUUUUGCCUGUGUUCGGGACUGGAAUAUACUGGGAUUUAUGUGGCGUAUUGAAGGCGCUACGCAUUCAUUGACAACAAGUAUCCAAAUCAUUGUGUUGGUGCUUUUAUUACUGUCCUUCUGUUUCCAAUCAAAUGAUACUUACAAAGCCCCACCAAGUGAAGGAAGAAAAGAAAAUGCAAGAAAACUUCCUGUACAAAAUAAAUACGAGUUCAACAAAAAAAAAAAAAA
Populus euphratica (Euphrates poplar) is the source of this 847-nucleotide long non-coding RNA. RefSeq lists it as uncharacterized. The transcript is spliced from 2 exons. NCBI's taxonomy places the organism in Eukaryota, Viridiplantae, Streptophyta, Magnoliopsida, Malpighiales, Salicaceae. The record is from RefSeq and is a predicted model, not a curated record.